Molecule: long non-coding RNA, 2287 nt
Organism: Esox lucius (northern pike)
Lineage: Eukaryota; Metazoa; Chordata; Actinopteri; Esociformes; Esocidae
Source: Ensembl
CGGCCCUAAGCUGUCGUCUAUAGGUGCGUCCUGCUGGCGGGAAUGAAACGUUUGCCGCAGAAUACGUCACUCCCAUUUCUAGCGAGAUGCCGCCGGCGAUUAGCCGGCUUCAUUUUCUCUGGCGGUUGCCUCGGUCUAAUGGACCGCGGUCGUCCUGCGGCAAGACGCUUUUAAAUACAAGGCUACUCUCAAAAUCGACCGGCCAUGUUGGUUUGGACACACAUUCGCAUCAGUUCGUCGCUCAAUCGCGAGUUACAGCCUGCAGCCUGCUAGCUAGCAAAGUCAUCGACUACCAUCGUUUAAAUACCUUGGCCAGAGCAUAACCGGUUAUCUUCACCCAAGAGACCUACUAUUGGUCAAUCAUUUUGGCUUUAAAGAAGUUGCAUCGAUUCCAGAAAACCAGGAAAAUGUUGAGCCAUCUGUAGACUUCAGAGCUGAACCAGGUUUCUCCCCAGUAAUCCAGACUCCACAGAGCCAAUAGUUUGAGUACAAAUAAGUGAUUUUAUUUGUGACGUUUUUUUUGUCUUGGAAACUAUUGCUUCUAUUUAAUAUUAGGAAUCCUUUUAUCCAUAAUCUGUUUUUCAUUAGGGCACUUGACUUUCUGGAAAAUAGGUGUCGAGGUGUGUUGUACAUAUCAUUAGCUUUGCACAGUUCAAUUAUUGUUUCAUUACUGAAUAUGCAAUCUCUGCAGUGAAAUUAAAGCUGUUAUGUUUGUUCCCCCCGCUCGUCAAGUACUAAGCUUUACACCACCAGCAGCAAAUUUACCCUGGCAGCAUAUGGGUGAAAACGCUGGGGGUGUGUAAAUACGUUGCGCUAAACUAAGUUUUACAUUUAAGUCCAAUUCAUUAAAUGUAUGCAAUUACUUCCAACAUAUUUUUACGUCAAUGAUUAUCAAUAGGAGAAAGUAAUCGCUUUGUUAUUGGCCCUUGGACGCCCCUGGCAUCUCUUGUACAGCACAAAGUUUUCAGCUAUGAAAGUAUAUUCUAGGCAUAUGUCUUAUUGUCCAGUGUUUUAACAGUAGUGAAAAUACUGCCUUUAGUAGUUUUAAAAAAAAAAUUAUGUAGAUUUCCAGAGACUCCAGAAUGAGGGAAUCUCUGAGGGAGGACAACCAAGCCCUGAGGGAAUGCAAUGCACAAGCAGCUUCGGAUGACAGCGGCUCACUUCAAGAGCAGGUGAAGCAAGUAGGGUCAAUGUUGAAGACAUUUGCUCUCACUGGGCAAUCAGGUGCGUUACCUGAAAGGAGCAUCUGACCGUGAAGGCAGAAAAAGGCGCCGCACAGCUGAGAAGGACCCACAGCCGACCCCUUAAACCUAGGCUGACUACUGACACCCCAGCAUCACUGACAACUGGAACACUUUCUUUAUCGUGCAGUCAGUAACAUCAAGAAGCCAGAAGUGCCAGACUACAAUCACCAUAUCCACCCUGUUUUUUUUGUAUUUUAACUUUAGUAUUGGCUUAUUUCAUUCUGUCUUAACGAUUCUAUUAUAGUUUGUAAAUCCUAUUUCAUACCUGUUACUUGAUAUUGCACAUUAACUAGUACCAAAAUUCUACUUUCAUUUCAUCAUUGUGCUUAACUGUUAUUCUAUUAAUAAUAGCUUGGAAAUACUAUUUACUACCUCUGAUACUUGAUAUUGCACAUUACCUGGUACCAAAUAAUCUAUUUAGUCUGUUUUUAACAUCAGCAUUUUUCAUUCCAUCACAGUGCUUAACUGUUAUUCUAUUGUUAAAUAUAUCUUGUAAAUCCUUGUGCCACAGGUCGGCUUUGCAGUUAUAAUGGUCUGUUCUACUACUGUUUUUACCUCCGUAUUUUUAUAUAAAUAAAUAUGUCAAGUUUUGUUUAUCACAGAUACAAGAGACACAGAUCUUAUUGCAGCACGGUGUAAAUCUUGUGCUCCAGGUCAGCAAUGCCAUGAUAAUGGUCUAUUCUACUCUAGAGCUUUACUCUAAAUUAUUACCACUUUUCUUAUUGUUAGAAAUGGCUUGAAAAUGUGAUGUUAUACCUCGAUUUAUUUGGUAUCCUGCACAUUCUUUGGUACCAAAUAUCCUCAUUACUUGUUAUGUUUACUGGUAAUUAUUUUCAUCCCAGAGCUGACCACUUUAUAUUAUUAACAAUUAUUGUGUUUGUGUUAUAAUUUGCUUGUAUGGCUGUUUUUUUUUACCAACAUUUAAUUGGAAACCUGCAUGUUCUGUAGUGUGUAUUUAUAUGUAUAUUUUUUUCUGCCUGUUAUUUAUUUCAGUGAUCUGACACAUCUUGUUUGAAUGACAGUUACUGUACUUUGAAAUGUGG